This 253-nucleotide ribosomal RNA is filed under the name uncultured bacterium. RNAcentral's name for it is "partial 16S ribosomal RNA". It matches the Rfam family "Bacterial small subunit ribosomal RNA", at positions 524 to 776 of the family's 1533-position model. The record is from RNAcentral.
UACGAAGGGGGCUAGCGUUGCUCGGAAUCACUGGGCGUAAAGCGCACGUAGGCGGGUCGUUAAGUCAGGGGUGAAAUCCUGGAGCUCAACUCCAGAACUGCCUUUGAUACUGGCGAUCUCGAGUUCGGGAGAGGUGAGUGGAACUGCGAGUGUAGAGGUGAAAUUCGUAGAUAUUCGCAAGAACACCAGUGGCGAAGGCGGCUCACUGGCCCGAUACUGACGCUGAGACGCGAAAGCGUGGGGAGCAAACAGG